Molecule: long non-coding RNA, 6890 nt
Organism: Rattus norvegicus (Norway rat)
Lineage: Eukaryota; Metazoa; Chordata; Mammalia; Rodentia; Muridae
Source: RefSeq, a predicted model, not a curated record
GACAUCCUGUGUGUACACAAGGAGAAACCGGAGUAGGAGGCGAGCCGUGAGCAAACAAGGCCAAUCUGUAUUUGAUAACAGGCAUCGCUUAGAAACAACUGCUAGGCUCAGUCGUCUACAAACACAGUGAUUGCUCCAUAUUAAAGCCAUUGCUGCCAGACAGAGCUGGCAUUGAAUCCAUGUGGAGCCUCCGUGUGGGAGGAUGCACACCAGCUCUAUAUUGGACACAGGGGAGGAAAAGGUGAGAUUCUUCUUCUUUCCUGUGUCUACCAAAUCCUUCGCUUUAGUUGCCUAGGAAGCUUACUUUAGCUGAGGUAGAUUUUUAAGUCUUUUAAUAAAAAAAAAAUUAUGUGUAUAAAUAUACCACGUGUAUGCCUAGGGUCCAAGGAGGCCCAAAGAGGCAGUCAGAUCCCCUGGAACUGGGGUUACAGAAAGUUGUGAACCAACAUAUCCGUGCUGGGAACAGAACUCAGGUCCUCUCCAAGAUGGCUGAGCCAUCUCUCCAGCUCCAGUUAAAGGAGGUUUGUAGGGUAGUGGGGAACUUAAACAGGGUACUGCCAGGCUGUUAACCGGAAGGGAAUUGUCCCUCUCUAUGCAGGAUUUUGGGUUUUGUUUGUCUAUUUUUGUCUGUCUGUCUUUCCAGAGACAAGGUCUUACUAUGUAGUCUGGAACUCACUAUGUGAACAAAGCUAAGUUUGAACUCCCAGAACACUGCCUGCCUGCCUGCCUGCCCGCCCGCCUGCCCGCUGGGUUUUAAAUCAGAGGAGGUGCCACCCUGGGAGCACACCCUUUCCUUGGUUGCUGUUUGAGACUGGGACCCAGGUUCUAACCCUUCGCCAGAGCCAAUCUCCUAGCUUCUUCUCCUAGGGCCUGGCAGUGCAGUGCUGAGCUGGACACAUGGCCGGCUGAGACUCCACUCUGCUUGUCAGCAAUGCAGUUUCCCUGUGAGAGCAUUCCCAAGGUCUUUCACAUCCAUUAUCACUGCAAACCCAUGUUGUUGGCAGCCCUGUUGUUUUGUUCCCUCUUAUGAACAAGCAGGACACAGCCACUCAAGGUCAACAGCUAAGUUGGUGGCUGAUGCAACCCUCUGUCACGCCUCUGUGCUUUUGAAUGAGCUGUUUCUGACUCCAGGAUGUCAGCCUUCCUCCACCGGGCAGGUUCCUUCUGGACCUACACUACCUCUCCUCCUUCCUCCUCGGACUGAGUAUCAAGCCAGCUCAGCGAUUGGCCUCCUCGUGAAGCUUCCCUCUAGUCCCUCUUGGCUCCUGUUCCCUGAAAGGAGUUGCCUGCAGCACACUAUGGAACUAUAGCAGGAGGUCGUGAACUACUCGAAUUAACUCCCUGGAGUUAUCUCUUGCCGGGAAGGAAGGACUCGGGCAGGGUUUUCAGAGGGAAGUCUGGGAAUUUCUGUUGAUGUAUGUGAAUACAUUAUUUUGCUAAGCAAUGCCACGAGGUAAGAGCUAUUGGUUUCUGUUGUUUAACACAUCUACUGUUUAAAUCAGUAUUUCAGGCUCUGAGGUACAGCAGGGAUGGAAAUGGAUAAGAAUCCUUCCCACUGGGUCAGUGGUCGGUAGUGUGCUUGCACAACGCUGCGUGUAUCGAACCCAGCAUGGCAUAAAAACUGUGCAUGGACUGGAGAGCUGGCUCAGCAGUUACGAGCACAGGCAGCUCUUCCAAAGGAUCCAGGUUUGAUUGCCAGCAUUCAUACCCACAGUUUAUGUUUACAACUGUCUGUAACUCCACUUGCAGGGGAUCCAGCGCCCUCUUCUGGCUUCCAAGGGCAUCAGGCACACAGAUGUACAGGCAAAACACACAUACACACACACAGGGAGAGAGAGAGAGAGAGAGAGAGAGAGAGAGAGAGAGAGAGACAGACAGACAGACAGAGAGACAGAGAGACAGAGAGAGACAGAGAGAGACAGAGAGAGAGACAGACAGACAGACAGACAUAGAUACAUAGAUGGCCAUGGUGGUAUGUAUCUGUAAUCCCAGUAUUUAAGAGGCAGAGAUAGAAGGAUGGUAAGGUCUCAGUCGUCCUUGGCUACACAGUUCUAUGCCAGCCUAGGCUAUAUAAAAUGUUUUCUCAAAAACAAAACAACAAAACACACAAUCAAACUCAGCGAUUAUAGAAAAAGGGUAAAAUAGGAGCAGGCGGCUUAUAAUACAGAAACGUGAAGCUGGUUUAACAUGGGAGCAUCAUGUGGGUGCUGGGAAGUGAACGCAGGUCCUCUGCAAAAGCAGUGCUCUUAACCAGUGAGCCAUCUCUCCAGCUCCCUCAGCCAAGUUUUAUUAAAAGCAAUGUGUGUGCGCAUCAGGACUAGCUGGUUUGGGCUAACACAGGGGGCCAGUAAUCUAGACAAAGAAAGAGAAGCUGGGGGUUGGGGAUUUAGCUCAGUGGUAGAGCGCUUGCCUAGCAAGCACAAGGCCCUGGGUUCGGUCCCCAGCUCCGAAAAAAAGAAAAGAAAAGAAAAAAAAAAGAAGAAAGAAAGAGAAGCUGGCUGGUCCUCAGCAUAGAAAACCAAACUAGCUCACCCUCCUUUGAAAGCUCCACUGAGGGGCUGGGGAUUUAGCUCAGUGGUAGAGCGCUUAGCUAGGAAGCGCAAGGCCCUGGGUUCGGUCCCCAGCUCUGAAAAAAAGAACCAAAAAAAAAAAAAAAAAAAAAAAAAAAAAGAAAGCUCCACUGAAAAGUUCCCCCUGGCAGCAAAAUGUGCAGCAAAUCCUUGUCUUCAAGGAAGCUAACCACCUUGAAUGUUUAAGCGGAAAGAGUAUUAAUCUACCUAGAGCAUCUCUUCCCUCCCUGCCUGCCUAUUUGUCUGACCUGUGGUCCUUCAUUCGGGAGGCGGAGGCUAGAAGAUCAGGAGUUCAAAGCCAGCCUGAGCUACAUGAGACCUUGUCCGGAACAAUCCUACAGCUGACAUCAUACUUAAUGGCAAAAAGUGGCUGCCUAUUCCCCAAGAUUAGCGGCAAAGGUGUGAGCUCCAACUCUUCUCCGUCGCUGUAUGAGUGGCCCCAGACUGCGCAAUAAGGUAAGAAAAUAAAUGAAAGGCCCAAAGGUUAUGGGCUAGGUGUGGGAUGAUGUCACAGGUGAGGCAGGUACAAGAUAGGAGGAGGCCUGUCACUGGACGAGAAGGAAGGAUGGGUGGGAGAAAAGUUUGAAGGAAGAGAAGGAGACUGGAACAGAAAGAAGGAGGGAGGGAGGGAGAGAGAGAGAGAGAGAGAGAGAGAGAGAGAGAGAGAGAGAGAAGCCGGUAGACAACAUGCAAGGUGACAUUAAGGUUCUGCUCUGUGUAUUUACAGGUUGCUGUUAAUGUUCUUAAGGGAUGGGUGUGAACAGGGCUCUGUAUGUUUAGGUGGGCAUAUAUUAUAUAUUUUCAAUUGGGUCAAAGGUUUUUGGGUUGUGUGUUCUUUCAUGUGUAGAUUUAAGUGUAAUGGAGUGUGUGGUGGCUGGUCUGGGCCACCACAGAGUUGGGAUGUGUGUUUCUGGCAUGGAAACCUGCCUUGAGAAUUACAUAGGUAGAGAGGUUGCUGCCAGACUCAGAGAGAAGCCUUCGGCAGUGUGAUAUGGGAUGGAGCAGAGCGGGUGAGACGCUUUGCUGACUGAGACUUAAGAUAUCCAGCAGAUAUCUUGGGGCACCGCGGUGCCAGACCUAGCGGGGAUAGAAGACGACCCUACUUUUUUUUUUUUUAUUUUUCAUAUUAUUACAACAGCAGCUAGGUUGCUGCCUUGACUCCAUCCCGAUUUAUUCCCAUCCUCUCCCAUCCUCAAAAGAGACUGAGCUCAGCCCUGGAUGGCACGUCUCUAUUAACUCCGCCACCACUGGGACCUGGGGAAGAGGAGGAUGGAGAGGUGGAAUGCUGUUUUCUGGAUGUGAUGUGAGCACUGCAGUCAGCUCACGGCAUCUGAGGUGACCCAUCUGCACAGUAUCAGACUAGCCAACGUCCCGGCACAGACAGCGGAGAUGACCUGCGAGCCCCACUCUUUCUUUCCUGAGGAGCUAUUGACCGUGAGUAGUUGCCAGGGGAGGAAGAAUUCACUUCUAAGGAUGUGGCCACUGGUAGGUUUUCCAUGCUCCACAGGAUGGCCUCACAUCUGUGCACAUACAGUCAGCAAUAACUGCGUGUGUGUGUGUGUGUGUGUGUGUGUGUGUGUGUGUGUGUGUGUGUGAGAGAGAGAGAGAGAGAGAGAGAGAGAGAGAGAGAGAGAGAGAGAGAGACAGCAGGUUGGAAAGGGGCAUGUUGAAGGAACACGGGAGCAGGGAAAUAGGGUAGAUAUGAUCCUAUUUCACUAUGCAGAUAUGUAUACACAUGUAAAUAUGCACACACACACAUGCAUGCACGCACGCAGGCACAUGAAUUUAUGGUGAUUGCCAGGAGAGUAUCACCUCUGGUAGGUGUCAAAACACCAGUCCACUGACUAAAGUUCUUAGGGUACUUGCUUCUGCAGCCCCUAGCCUGAUCCUCCUGUAAACAUCUCUUCCUUUCCAAUGGUCGAAAGGCCAUCUGGAGAUACUAAGUAAGUAAGUAGCAACCCCAGGGAGCUCUGCUGUCUCUUCCUCAACGUUGUCGGUCUCUUGGACAUUGACUUUCUGUGCGAUAGGCCUGAGUCUGCUAAUGUUUGUUUCAGCCACAGAUGAUGUAACUAUUAUGAAAUCCCAGGGAAUUUUCAUACCGACUAGGAACGAACUGGUAAAGUCAGCAAGGUCACAGGGAGUAAAGACAGUAUAUGAAAGAAACUUUUUUUUCCUUUCAAAUAAGUGGCUUAUGAAGCUUUACGAAAUUCCGUUUGGGGCCAACAAGAUGACUCAGCAGGUAAAGGCACUCGCCACAGAGUCUGAUGACCUGAGCUCAGUAUGCGGUGGGGGGACAGAGACAGUUCUGCAAACAGUCCUUUCACCUCCAAACGUGCCACACCACACAAAUGCCCACACACAUGCAAACAAACGGAGCUUUAAAAGGACCUCAUCUACAAUAGCAUUAAGAGGGAAAAGAUCGGAAAGCGAGAGAGAAACAGGUGUAAAAGAAUCCAUAGUUCUGUUUAUAUAACAGGAUGGGGGUGGGAGGACGGAUUCCUGCUAGGCAAGCGAGCGGCUGACUGCCUGGGGUGGGAUGGGAAAGGGAUGACUGAUGACUAGGUGUCUUAGUGUUGCUACUGCAGUGCUAACACACCAUGACCAAAAGCAACUUGGAGAGGAAAGAGCUUGCUCUCUUCACAUAUCUGUCCACAUAGCAGCUCUCAGUGGAAGCAGUCAAACAGAGCAGGAACUUAGAGGCAGGGGCUGAUGCAGAGGCCAUGGAGGAGUGCUGCUUACCGACCUGCUCCUCAGGGCUGCCCAGCCUCCUUUCUUACAGAACCCCAGACCACAGCCUAGGGGUGGAACUGCCCACAAUGGGCUACGCCCUGCCAUAUCUAUCAUUAGUUAAGAAGAUGCCCUACAGGCUUGCCUGCAACCCGAUCCAUUUUGUUUUGUUUUCUUGUCUUUGAGACAGCAUCUCUGUGUAGACCAAGCUGGCCUUGAACUCAGAGAGAUCUGUCUCUGGAGUGCUGGGAUUAAAAGUAAGCUCCCAGCCGCUACAAACCCAUUUUGGAGCCAUUUUUCUGAUUGAGGUUCCCUCCUGUCAGAUGACUCCAGUGUGUGUCACGUUGACAUAAAACUAUCCAGCGUAGUAGAAGCUGGAGGAAACUUCCGAGAGUCAAGGAAAUGCCCCGUAUACUGAUAUAUAGGCAUAGGAACCUAAUAAGAACACAAUUAACUGAAAGUUCCACUCUGAGGCUGGGCAUGGCGGUGCAAGCUUUCAACUCAGUGCUUGGGAGACAGAGGCAGGAUGACCAGAAGUUCAGAGUUAUCCUCUCUGCUCUAUAGUGAAUUCAUGGCCAACCUAGGACACAUAAGACCCUGUAUCCAAAGAAAAGAAAGUGUAAAUUUGCCAGAAAUGCUGGAUCAUGCCCAUAAUCUCAGCACUCAGGAAAGCAGAGGCAGGAGAGGAGGAUCAGGAGUUUGAGAUCAUGCUUGACUACAUGGCAAUUCUGAAGCUAUUCUGGAUCAUGUGAAACCAGUCCCGCCACACCCCCCCCCCCCCAGUCCCCUUUACAACAGAUACGUUUUAUUGUGUGUAUGUUGCAUCUCAGUGAAGUUGAUUAGAAAAAAAGCAAGGCCAACUACAUGUACCACUAGCCCAGGAGCCAGGUGUAGCUCAGUGGUAGAGUACAUGCUUAGUGUCCAUUGAGAAUAUGUUUGGUGGAUAUGCAGUCAGGUGUGGGGAAAGGGGUGCCAUGCUGAGGCCCUUCUCCCUGACUGUAUAGAAUAGAGUUUAUUCUGAGCAUCGGAAGGAGAGUUAAGGGGGUAGUAAAGACAGAGAAAGACAGAAAGAGCAGAGGAGUAGAGGCUGGCCAAGAGCAUGUGGAGAGAGACGGGGGAGGGGAAUGAGAGGACACAGUGAGAGCUAGAAGGAAGAGAGAGAGAGGAGGGGGCAAGCAGCCCCUUUUACAGUGAGUCGGGCUGUUGCCAGGUAACCCUGGGGCGGGGCCUAGACAAAAUGCUAACAGCCGCGAGGCCCUGGGUUCAGCCGCUACUACACCAGGCCGAGUUCUGCCGUUAGCAUAAAGAAGUAGAUAAAGUGGACCAAAUAUACCAUAUGUCAAGUUCAGAGCUGAUGAGGAGGAAAUCACCUUUGGAAUAACGUCAAGUUUGAGAGGCUUACACUUGUGUUCCAUACUAUGCUGAAUGGUGUGGAAAACUCCGUGGUCACGCAAAGGAGUGGCUGGCACCUCUGUGUCCACAGACUGGCCAGUGGAGCUGGGGACCGAACCCAGGGCCUUGCGCUUCCUAGGCAAGCGCUCUACCACUGAGCUAAAUCCCCAACCCCGCAAAUAAAUCUUUUAUAAAAAGGAA